Telopea speciosissima is the source of this 456-nucleotide long non-coding RNA. RefSeq lists it as uncharacterized. The transcript is spliced from 4 exons. The record is from RefSeq and is a predicted model, not a curated record. Lineage: Eukaryota; Viridiplantae; Streptophyta; Magnoliopsida; Proteales; Proteaceae.
UUCCACGAAAUCAAUUUCAAUCCACCUCUUUACUUUGAUUCCCCUUUCCUUGAUAUACUAAGUAGCUCCUCUCAUGACAGGUUAUAAGAUUAUCUGCUGGAACACAGGAUCUUCCAAAAUCCAUUUUAUGCAACAUCCAUGGUGUCAACCCCAAGUUUCUUGAGGUUGGGAAGAAAAAGCAAGUGCUGCUGAAAAAUGGAAACCAAGCCUUCACCAAGGGCGCAUACUACAUAGGGAAAAUGGUGUGGAAUAAAGGCUACAGAGAGCUCCUUAAAUUACUUUCUCAUCACCAGAAGGAACUAAAAGGUCUUCAGGUUGAUUUAUUUGGAAAUGGAGAUGACCACGAUCAAGUUAAAGAAGCAGCUAAAAAAUUUAGAACUUACGGUUAAGGUCCACCCUGGGUGUGACCAUGCUGACCCUUUAUUUCAUGAUUACAAGGUUCUCCAAAUUCCAAGC